Molecule: ribosomal RNA, 253 nt
Filed under: uncultured bacterium
Lineage: Bacteria
Description: partial 16S ribosomal RNA
Rfam family: Bacterial small subunit ribosomal RNA
Source: RNAcentral
UACGUAGGGUGCGAGCGUUGUCCGGAAUUAUUGGGCGUAAAGGGCUCGUAGGCGGUUUGUCGCGUCGGGAGUGAAAACUCAGGGCUUAACCCUGAGCCUGCUUCCGAUACGGGCAGACUAGAGGUAUGCAGGGGAGAACGGAAUUCCUGGUGUAGCGGUGAAAUGCGCAGAUAUCGGGAGGAACACCGGUGGCGAAGGCGGUUCUCUGGGCAUUACCUGACGCUGAGGAGCGAAAGUGUGGGGAGCGAACAGG